RNAcentral lists this non-coding RNA (24 nucleotides) under Cricetulus griseus (Chinese hamster). The record is from RNAcentral. Lineage: Eukaryota; Metazoa; Chordata; Mammalia; Rodentia; Cricetidae.
UAAAAGUUUGUAUGUAUGUUGUGC